UAAGUUCCGACCUGCACGAAUGGCGUAAUGAUGGCCAGGCUGUCUCCACCCGAGACUCAGUGAAAUUGAACUCGCUGUGAAGAUGCAGUGUACCCGCGGCAAGACGGAAAGACCCCGUGAACCUUUACUAUAGCUUGACACUGAACAUUGAGCCUUGAUGUGUAGGAUAGGUGGGAGGCUUUGAAGCGUGGACGCCAGUCUGCGUGGAGCCGACCUUGAAAUACCACCCUUUAAUGUUUGAUGUUCUAACGUGGAUCCGUAAUCCGGGUUGCGGACAGUGUCUGGUGGGUAGUUUGACUGGGGCGGUCUCCUCCUAAAGAGUAACGGAGGAGCACGAAGGUUGGCUAAUCCUGGUCGGACAUCAGGAGGUUAGUGCAAUGGCAUAAGCCAGCUUGACUGCGAGCGUGACGGCGCGAGCAGGUGCGAAAGCAGGUCAUAGUGAUCCGGUGGUUCUGAAUGGAAGGGCCAUCGCUCAACGGAUAAAAGGUACUCCGGGGAUAACAGGCUGAUACCGCCCAAGAGUUCAUAUCGACGGCGGUGUUUGGCACCUCGAUGUCGGCUCAUCACAUCCUGGGGCUGAAGUAGGUCCCAAGGGUAUGGCUGUUCGCCAUUUAAAGUGGUACGCGAGCUGGGUUUAGAACGUCGUGAGACAGUUCGGUCCCUAUCUGCCGUGGGCGCUGGAGAACUGAGGGGGGCUGCUCCUAGUACGAGAGGACCGGAGUGGACGCAUCACUGGUGUUCGGGUUGUCAUGCCAAUGGCACUGCCCGGUAGCUAAAUGCGGAAGAGAUAAGUGCUGAAAGCAUCUAAGCACGAAACUUGCCCCGA
This 826-nucleotide ribosomal RNA is filed under the name Salmonella enterica subsp. enterica serovar Infantis. Its description in RNAcentral is "partial 23S ribosomal RNA". It matches the Rfam family "Bacterial large subunit ribosomal RNA", at positions 1977 to 2802 of the family's 2925-position model. The record is from RNAcentral. Lineage: Bacteria; Pseudomonadati; Pseudomonadota; Gammaproteobacteria; Enterobacterales; Enterobacteriaceae.